RNAcentral lists this ribosomal RNA (527 nucleotides) under uncultured bacterium. Its description in RNAcentral is "bacterial SSU rRNA". It matches the Rfam family "Bacterial small subunit ribosomal RNA", at positions 777 to 1301 of the family's 1533-position model. The record is from RNAcentral.
AAUAGAUACCCCAGGUAGUCCACGCCGUAAACGAUGAGUGCUAAGUGUUAGAGGGUUUCCGCCCUUUAGUGCUGCAGCUAACGCAUUAAGCACUCCGCCUGGGGAGUACGGUCGCAAGACUGAAACUCAAAGGAAUUGACGGGGGCCCGCACAAGCGGUGGAGCAUGUGGUUUAAUUCGAAGCAACGCGAAGAACCUUACCAGGUCUUGACAUCCUCUGACAACUCUAGAGAUAGAGCGUUCCCCUUCGGGGGACAGAGUGACAGGUGGUGCAUGGUUGUCGUCAGCUCGUGUCGUGAGAUGUUGGGUUAAGUCCCGCAACGAGCGCAACCCUUGAUCUUAGUUGCCAGCAUUUAGUUGGGCACUCUAAGGUGACUGCCGGUGACAAACCGGAGGAAGGUGGGGAUGACGUCAAAUCAUCAUGCCCCUUAUGACCUGGGCUACACACGUGCUACAAUGGAUGGUACAAAGGGCUGCAAGACCGCGAGGUCAAGCCAAUCCCAUAAAACCAUUCUCAGUUCGGAUUGU